UACGUAGGGUGCAAGCGUUGUCCGGAAUUAUUGGGCGUAAAGAGCUCGUAGGCGGUUCGUCGCGUCGGCUGUGAAAACCUGAGGCUCAACCUCAGGCCUGCAGUCGAUACGGGCGGACUUGAGUACUGCAGGGGAGACUGGAAUUCCUGGUGUAGCGGUGAAAUGCGCAGAUAUCAGGAAGAACACCCGUGGCUAAGGCGGCUCUCUAGUACGGUACUGACGCUGAGACGCGAAAGCGUGGGGAGCGAACAGG
Molecule: ribosomal RNA, 253 nt
Filed under: uncultured bacterium
Lineage: Bacteria
Description: partial 16S ribosomal RNA
Rfam family: Bacterial small subunit ribosomal RNA
Source: RNAcentral